AGGCACAGUCUUUAAUCGAACUAUAUUAACAAACAGAUCUUUCUUCGAAGCCAAUUCUACUAAAAUCAACAUGUUCCGAUUCGUCCUUGUCGUUCUUGCCCUCGUCGCCGUGGCGUCCGCCCAGCUUUUGUACACUUCCGGUGUGAGCGGCCCCAACUUUCACAACGCUUUCGCCUCCUCUGCCUCCACCGGAAUCCGACGAUACGGAUCCACCGCUGGAUUGGCCUACGCCGCUCCAGCUUACGCCGCUAUUCCAGCCUACUAUUAAAAAUUUUGAAGUUUUGUAUUUCCAAAUUUUUGUUACCAUCUUGUCAAUAAAGCAGUGAUCUGAUCUGAACCUUUAAAAAAA
Folsomia candida is the source of this 349-nucleotide long non-coding RNA. RefSeq lists it as uncharacterized. The record is from RefSeq and is a predicted model, not a curated record. The transcript is spliced from 2 exons. NCBI's taxonomy places the organism in Eukaryota, Metazoa, Arthropoda, Collembola, Entomobryomorpha, Isotomidae.